Molecule: ribosomal RNA, 342 nt
Filed under: Foraminifera environmental sample
Lineage: Eukaryota; Foraminifera
Description: SSU rRNA
Rfam family: Eukaryotic small subunit ribosomal RNA
Source: RNAcentral
AAGGGCACCACAAGAACGCGUGGAGCAUGUGGCUUAAUUUGACUCAACGCGGGAAAUCUUACCGGGUCCGGACACACUGAGGAUUGACAGGCAGUUUUGAUAUUUCUUCACCUUUUUUUAGGUGAGUGAUAUCUCAUGAAAGAUGCUAGUCCUUUCAUGAUUAUGUGAUAGGUGGUGCAUGGCCGUUCUUAGUUCGUGGAGUGAUCUGUCUGCUUAAUUGCGUUUCACUAAGGGUUUAUUUUUAACUUUAAGUUAUAUAUUUUGACCCCUACUUUAAUUAGUAGUGUGUUUUGUCAACUUUAUAAUUUUAUAAUAAAACCCUGAAAGCAACGAACGUGACCG